AACUCUUCCUCGAUGGAAACCAGCUGGAAGGAACCAUCCCGCGAUUUAUAGGAACUUUCAGCAAGCUUCUCGCUCUGGUCCUGAACAACAACAAGUUCACAGGCAGUAUUCCCGGUGAUCUUGGAGGCUUACAUUCACUCAGACGGAUCGACCUGAGUAGCAACAGACUGUCGGGUACAAUACCGGCUCGGCUCGAGAACUUGAGAAUGCUGGAAGACUUGGAUCUGUCUGCAAACAAUCUGGAAGGCAACAUUCCCUCCCAGCUUGAACGGCUAACAAGUUUGGAGCACCUCAACGUGUCAUAUAAUAACCACUUACUAGCACCAAUCCCGUCGGCCUCGAGCAAAUUCAACAGUUCUUCCUUCCUGGGCCUCAUAAAUCGUAACACCACCGAGCUCGCCUGCGCAAUAAACUGUAAACAUAAGAACCAGCUUUCUACAACCGGUAAAACAGCCAUAGCAUGCGGGGUAGUAUUUAUAUGCGUUGCUCUAGCAAGCAUCGUUGCAUGCUGGAUCUGGAGACGUAGAAAAAAAAGGCGAGGAACCGACGACAGAGGCAGGACUCUCUUGCUGGAAAAGAUCAUGCAAGUGACAAACGGAUUGAAUCAAGAGUUCAUCAUAGGACAGGGUGGCUACGGAACUGUUUACCGAGCAGAAAUGGAGUCGGGAAAAGUUCUUGCUAUCAAGAAGCUCACUAUCGCAGCCGAGGACAGCUUGAUGCAUGAGUGGGAAACCGCUGGUAAAGUCAGGCACCGAAACAUCCUCAAAGUUUUAGGCCACUACAGACACGGAGGAUCAGCACUUCUCGUUUCCAACUUCAUGACAAACGGAAGCCUGGGGAGCCUGCUACACGGCCGCUGCUCAAACGAGAAGAUCCCGUGGCAACUUCGUUACGAGAUUGCACUCGGCAUUGCUCACGGCCUCUCAUACUUGCACCACGACUGCGUGCCAAAGAUAAUUCACAGGGACAUAAAAGCCAACAACAUUCUCUUGGACAAAGACAUGGUUCCAAAGAUUGCGGACUUUGGCUUGGCCAAGCUCAUCGAGAAAGAAGCGGAGACAAAGUCCAUGUCCUACAUCGCAGGCUCGUAUGGAUACAUUGCUCCAGGUAGAAAACAAAGAGAAACGAAGAAAGAAGCUCUCAACUCACAUUUCUCUCUCUCUCUCUGUCUGCAGAGUAUGCUUUCACGCUCAAAGUGAACGAGAAAAGCGACAUAUACAGCUUUGGAGUGAUACUUCUCGAGCUGCUGCUACGAAAGACACCGCUCGAUCCACUCUUCUCAGAGACCGAUGGAAACAUGACGGUGUGGGUAAGAAACGAGACGAGAGGAUCAUCCACAGGCUUGGAAAGCGUGGCAGAUCCAGAGAUGUGGAGGGAAGCCUCCCGGAUCGAGAAAAAGGAGAUGGAGAGGGUUUUCCGGAUUGCGCUGCUGUGCACAGAGGGCAAUCCAGCGGACAGACCCACAAUGCAGCAAAUUGUGGAAAUGCUGAGGACGACGCCAAUCCAUACCUGAGAAGCGCUCCUCCUCCGAGCUUAGAACCCUAACAAAAAGAACCCUAUGGAAUUGGCG
Molecule: long non-coding RNA, 1570 nt
Filed under: Selaginella moellendorffii
Lineage: Eukaryota; Viridiplantae; Streptophyta; Lycopodiopsida; Selaginellales; Selaginellaceae
Description: long non-coding RNA (SMOE_LNC001856)
Source: RNAcentral